UGUGGGAGCUGGCUUGCCUGCGAUGCAGACACCUCGGUACAUCAGUUAAACCGAGGCGAUGCCAUCGCAGGCAUGCCAGCUCCCACC
This 87-nucleotide unclassified non-coding RNA is filed under the name Pseudomonas sp. bs2935. Lineage: Bacteria; Pseudomonadati; Pseudomonadota; Gammaproteobacteria; Pseudomonadales; Pseudomonadaceae. The record is from RNAcentral.